Oncorhynchus kisutch (coho salmon) is the source of this 1595-nucleotide long non-coding RNA. RefSeq lists it as uncharacterized. Lineage: Eukaryota; Metazoa; Chordata; Actinopteri; Salmoniformes; Salmonidae. The transcript is spliced from 3 exons. The record is from RefSeq and is a predicted model, not a curated record.
AAGUAGGCGAAGGCGAGGGACGACACCAUGGAGUCGAGGUCACAGGCCUCGUUGCCAAGGACAAUGUGGAUCCCAGAGCUGCCCUCCGAACUGCCCUAAGGAAGUAAGGAAAUGUAUCAAGGGAUGACAGAGACCUCUGGCUCUGAGCAAGACAGUGAGCCAGAGCUGCCAGGUGAUGUCAUCGAGCCCCUCCCAACUGCAUCAAGCACCACAUGUGCUGUUCCAAAAGGACCCAAUGACAUUUCAAGAUCCAGAGAAGAGGGUCCUGUACAGCCGUGUUUGAAAACAUUUGCCAAAACUCAGCAUGGUACUAGGAAAAGGGCUGUCAACAGCUCCUGGUAUAAGGACAGUUCAUGGCUUGAAUAUUCUGUAAAUCAAGAUUCAACUUGUUGUUUCGCCUGUAGGCAUUUAUCUCGGCCCAAUACACCUGAAUCUGCCUUCACAUCACAGUCAUGUUUCUCUGUUCAAUACACCUGAAUCUGCCUUCACAUCACAGUCAUGUUUCUCUGUUCAAUACACCUGAAUCUGCCUUCACAUCACAGUCAGGUUUUUGUAACUGGAAAAAGGCGCUGUUUAAAGAUUCUGGGUUUAAGCUCCAUUCGAAGGCAAAGCAUCAUAUCAACGCUAUGUAUGCUUGGAAUCAUCUUAAAAGGGCUAUUGACAGCAACUCAUCAAUGUUAGAUGUCAUAAAUGAGGACCGGAAAAAGAAAGUGGAGGAAAUCUGUACUUACAUUAAAACAAUUGCAGAUGUGCUCCUAUUAACUGCCACUCAAAAUAAAGCGCAGAGAGGUCACAACAAGGGUAAUGUUUUGACAAUCUUAGAAGAAAUAGCAAAGCAUGACCCUCUCAUAGAGAAAAGGAUGAAUGCAUGUGGCAAUGCUAAGUACACAAGCCACCAAAUCCAGAACAAAGUUCUUGAGGGCUUAGCUGAGAUGGUACAAAGUGAAAUAAUAAGAGAAGUAAAUGAAAGGGACGUUUUUUGUGUAAUUGCAGAUGAAACCAAAGAUUUAAAGAAAAAAUAAAGUCUUUAUUUGUGAGGUACUAUCCAUGAAAGCUUUUUACAUUUUCAGUCAGAUGAAAGCUUAGAUGCUGCAGGUCUCACAAAAAUUAUAAUUGAUUGCCUUGAAAAACAUGGCCUGGACUGCAGAAAUAAUCUUGUGAGCGGAAAGCAUUCUGGUGUGUCUGCACGGAUUAAAAACAGUGCAAGGUUUGCAUUUUAUGUGCACUGUAAUGCACAUUGUUUGAAUUUGGUUCUUGUCGAUGCUGUAAAAUCAGUGCCUGAAGCAGUUCACUUUUUUGCUCUCCUGCAGAAGCAAGGGGAACCACUACUUCAAGGUCUCAGAGCAAGUGAUGUCACCAAUUGAAACGCCACUAGCGCACACCACCACUAACUAGCUAGCAAUUUCACAUCGGCUACACUCACCCCCCUUUUGACCUUCUCCUCUUUCCGCAGCAAUCAGUGAUCCAGGUCAACAGCAUCAAUGUAACAGUAUAGACUUUAUGCCCGUCCCCUCGCGCCGACCUGGGUGCGAACCAGGGACGCUCUGCACACGUCAACAGUCACCCUCGAAGCAUCGUUACCCAUCACUCCACAA